CAGCCGCCGCGGUAAUACGAAGGGUGCAAGCGUUAAUCGGAAUUACUGGGCGUAAAGCGUGCGUAGGCGGUGAGUUAAGUCUGUUGUGAAAUCCCCGGGCUCAACCUGGGAAUGGCAAUGGAUACUGGCAAGCUAGAGUGUGUCAGAGGAUGGUGGAAUUCCCGGUGUAGCGGUGAAAUGCGUAGAGAUCGGGAGGAACAUCAGUGGCGAAGGCGGCCAUCUGGGACAACACUGACGCUGAGGCACGAAAGCGUGGGGAGCAAACAGGAUUAGAUACCCCAGUAGUCCCUGUCUCUUAUAC
RNAcentral lists this ribosomal RNA (301 nucleotides) under uncultured bacterium. RNAcentral's name for it is "partial 16S ribosomal RNA". It matches the Rfam family "Bacterial small subunit ribosomal RNA", at positions 509 to 807 of the family's 1533-position model. The record is from RNAcentral.